GAUGAACGCUGGCGGCGUGCCUAAUACAUGUAAGUCGAGCGAACGGACGAGAAGCUUGCUUCUCUGAUGUUAGCGGCGGACGGGUGAGUAACACGUGGAUAACCUACCUAUAAGACUGGGAUAACUUCGGGAAACCGGAGCUAAUACCGGAUGAUAUUUUGAACCCCAUGGUUCAUAAGUGAAAGACGGUCUUGCUGUCACUUAUAGAUGGAUCCGCGCUGCAUUAGCUAGUUGGUAAGGUAACGGCUUACCAAGGCAACGAUGCAUAGCCGACCUGAGAGGGUGAUCGGCCACACUGGAACUGAGACACGGUCCAGACUCCUACGGGAGGCAGCAGUAGGGAAUCUUCCACAAUGGGCGAAAGCCUGACGGAGCAACGCCGCGUGAGUGAUGAAGGUCUUCGGAUCGUAAAACUCUGUUAUUAGGGAAGAACAUAUGUGUAAGUAACUGUGCACAUCUUGACGGUACCUAAUCAGAAAGCCACGGCUAACUGCGUG
RNAcentral lists this ribosomal RNA (497 nucleotides) under uncultured bacterium. RNAcentral describes it as "partial 16S ribosomal RNA". It matches the Rfam family "Bacterial small subunit ribosomal RNA", at positions 28 to 507 of the family's 1533-position model. The record is from RNAcentral.